Molecule: microRNA precursor, 65 nt
Filed under: Notamacropus eugenii (tammar wallaby)
Lineage: Eukaryota; Metazoa; Chordata; Mammalia; Diprotodontia; Macropodidae
Description: miRNA (ENSMEUG00000017459.1)
Source: RNAcentral
CCCUCCCCCCCCGCGGGGCGAGGGCGGGGGAGGAGGGAGGGGCCGUCUCCGCCCCGCCCCCCGCA